AGUGAACGCUGGCGGUAGGCCUAACACAUGCAAGUCGAACGGCAGCACAGUAAGAGCUUGCUCUUACGGGUGGCGAGUGGCGGACGGGUGAGGAAUACAUCGGAAUCUACUUUUUCGUGGGGGAUAACGUAGGGAAACUUACGCUAAUACCGCAUACGACCUACGGGUGAAAGCAGGGGAUCUUCGGACCUUGCGCGAUUGAAUGAGCCGAUGUCGGAUUAGCUAGUUGGCGGGGUAAAGGCCCACCAAGGCGACGAUCCGUAGCUGGUCUGAGAGGAUGAUCAACCACACUGGAACUGAGACACGGUCCAGACUCCUACGGGAGGCAGCAGUGGGGAAUAUUGGACAAUGGGCGCAAGCCUGAUCCGGCCAUACCGCGUGGGUGAAGAAGGCCUUCGGGUUGUAAAGCCCUUUUGUUGGGAAAGAAAAGCAGCAGGUUAAUACCCCGCUGUUCUGACGGUACCCAAAGAAUAAGCACCGGCUAACUUCGUG
This 492-nucleotide ribosomal RNA is filed under the name uncultured bacterium. Its description in RNAcentral is "partial 16S ribosomal RNA". It matches the Rfam family "Bacterial small subunit ribosomal RNA", at positions 29 to 507 of the family's 1533-position model. The record is from RNAcentral.